Non-coding RNA from Nicotiana tabacum (common tobacco), 700 nucleotides. The record is from RefSeq and is a predicted model, not a curated record. NCBI's taxonomy places the organism in Eukaryota, Viridiplantae, Streptophyta, Magnoliopsida, Solanales, Solanaceae.
CUCUCCUAAAUCUUUUCUGUCCCCAAAAAAUAAUUAUGCCCCAAAAUAUCCCACUAAGUUAAGUUUUACCCAAAUUACAUGAAAACUCCCGUACUUCUUCCCUAAAACAGGCUCUAGUCAUCUAGUUAAGCAGAUUAGGGUAGUUUUUGUGCAAAUUACUGAUGGAAAUACUUAAUUUCUUCUAAUUGCUCUUCUCAAAAGUCAAAACCCUCCUUAAUUGGGUUUGGUGGCCGUCAGUUUCAAUUGGAAAGUUCGUUUGCUUAGGGUUACAACUGCUAAAAAUUUGUUGCUGGUUCUGCAAUUUCAUCCUCUUCAAGAAGAGACACACAUUGGCAAAUUUUAUUUAAGAGCGCAAAGCAGAGAAAUACACUUUACAAGAUUACCUAUGGUGAACUUGAAGUUGGGUUUGGCCUAAGAUAAGUGUCAUGACUAGGUUUUCAAAUGAUCCUUCCGAGGCUUGGAUGGAUUUACCAAGGUAUAGCAAAGAGUAUAUUGAUGGUGUUCAACAUUUUUUGAAUUUUGCUUAUUCUGAUGGAGAUCCUCAGGGCGAAGAUAUUCAAUGCCCGUGUGCAAAGUGUUGUAACAUCCCUUGGUGUCAAAUGAAUGUAGUAUAUGAUCAUUUAAUAUGCUACAGUUUUGUUAAAGGUUAUACAGGAUGGAUUAAUCAUGGGGAAUAAAAAAUUCCAAUAGAUGUUGAUGA